RNAcentral lists this ribosomal RNA (465 nucleotides) under uncultured bacterium. RNAcentral's name for it is "partial 16S ribosomal RNA". It matches the Rfam family "Bacterial small subunit ribosomal RNA", at positions 28 to 507 of the family's 1533-position model. The record is from RNAcentral.
GACGAACGCUGGCGGCGUGCUUAACACAUGCAAGUCGAACGGAAAGGCCCUGCUUGCAGGGUACUCGAUUGGCGAACGGUUGGGUAACACCUUUGUGAUCUGCCCUGCACUUCGGGAUAAGCCUGGGAAACUGGGUCUAAUACCGGAUAUGACCUUCCAUGUAUUGUGGUGGGUGGGAGUUUUUGUCGGUGUGUGAUGAGCUCGCGGCCUAUCAGAUUGUUGGUGGGGUAAUGGUCUACCAAGGCGUGGAGAGGUAGCCGGGCUGAGAGGGGGGGCGGCCACAUUGGGAUUGAGAUAAGGCACGGCCUAGUACGGGAGGGAGGAGUGGAGAAUAUAGUACAAUGGGCGGAAGGAUGAUGCAGCGAAGCAGCGUGGGGGAUGACGGCAUUCGGGUUGUAAACCUCUUCCGACAGGGACGAAGCGUUGGUGACGGUACCUGGAUAAGAAGCACCGGCUAACUCCGUG